Molecule: ribosomal RNA, 442 nt
Filed under: uncultured bacterium
Lineage: Bacteria
Description: partial 16S ribosomal RNA
Rfam family: Bacterial small subunit ribosomal RNA
Source: RNAcentral
CCUACGGGGGGCAGCAGUGGGGAAUAUUGGGCAAUGGGCGAAAGCCUGACCCAGCAACGCCGCGUGAAGGAAGAAGGCUUUCGGGUUGUAAACCUCUUUUAAGAGGGAAGAGCAGAAGACGGUACCUCUUGAAUAAGCCACGGCUAACUAAGUGACAGGAGCAGCGGUAAUACGUAGGUGGCAAGCGUUGUCCGAAUUCACUGGGUGUAAAGGGCGUGUAGUCGGGCUGUCAAGUCAGAUGUGAAAUCCGGGGGCUCAACCACCGAACUGCAUUGGAAACUGUUGGUCUUGAGUAUCGGAGAGGCAGGCGGAAUUCCUGGUGUAGCGGUGAAAUGCGUAGAUAUGAGGAGGAACACCAGUGGCGAAGGCGGCCUGCUGGACGACAACUGACGGUGAGGCGCGAAAGCGUGGGGAGCAAACAGGAUUAGAUACCCGGGUAGUC